CAUAUUUGUUAUUUUAUUAUAUAUUAUUGUAUACAACUUUGAUAAUGAGGAUAUUAUAAAUCAUACUUUAAGCAAAAAUCUAUGCAUGAUAUAUGUAAGCAGUAACAUUUUGAAGAAAAAAGCCAUGAAAGCAUUUACCUAAAAUUUAGUAACAUCGAAAAACACUAGUUUGUGCAUAGUAAUGUUGAAAGCUUCAUAAUACACUAGAAUACUGGUAAGUCUUCAGGUAUUGUAAGAAAAACCUGGUACAGGAAAAGACUAAAUUAGACACAUCCAUAUCCUUAGAUGUGCACAUCAUCUAGAAAUAAAUCCCACAAUGUAGCAGUGCACUAAGUAUCCUUUGUUUGGCACUUAACAAUACAGACAAACGUGUAUUUGGUUUAACGUGAUUUUAUUAUUCUUAGAUACAUUUUAGUUAUUUUAUAUAGAUAAAAAUAUACAAUAUUGCUUUUCAAACUUUUAAUUUUAUAACUGUAUAACUGAUUGUCAUCAUAUUCAUGAUUAAAAAGCCUAUUUUCCACUAAACAAUUUAUCCAGUAACAUGUGGAAGAGAGUAACAAAAAUGGUUUAUGUAAGACUUAUAAUAAAAGGUUUAAAUGUAAAAAUAGAGUAUUAAUCUAGACCUCUGGUCUAAAUCCUUAGAUACCUCAUGCUGGAAACAAAUUAUGAAAUGUUUCAGACAAAUUUUUUCCAACACUUAAAUUGAUUCUACAGGUUUAAAGUUUUGACUGAAAAUACACAGAACUCAGAGAUAUUUUGUCCGAAGCCAUUUUUAUAUACAUUAACUUACUAAAAAAAGUAAAAGAAAUAAAAAUUGUAUUUUUUUUUUUUUUGGAGACGGAGUCUCGGUCUAUUGCCAGGCUGGAGUGCAGUGGGGCGAUCUUGGCUCUGCAACCUCCGAUUCCCAGGUUCAGGCUAUUCUCCUGCCUCAGCCUCCUGAGUAGCUAGGACUACAGGCUCACGCCACCAUGCCCAGCUAAUUUCUGUAUUUUUAGUAGAGACAGGGUUUCACCAUGUUGGUCAGGAUGGUCUCCAUCUCUUGACCUCGUGAUCCACCCUCCUCGCCCUCCCCAAGUUUUGGGAUUCCAUCAGAUUUUCAAAUAAUACAUGCAAAAUGUGUCUAAG
RNAcentral lists this long non-coding RNA (1125 nucleotides) under Homo sapiens (human). RNAcentral's name for it is "HSALNT0119304". The record is from RNAcentral. Lineage: Eukaryota; Metazoa; Chordata; Mammalia; Primates; Hominidae.